Molecule: ribosomal RNA, 468 nt
Filed under: uncultured bacterium
Lineage: Bacteria
Description: partial 16S ribosomal RNA
Rfam family: Bacterial small subunit ribosomal RNA
Source: RNAcentral
GACGAACGCUGGCGGCGUGCUUAACACAUGCAAGUCGAACGGAAAGGCCCUGAUUUUGCGGGGCGCUCGUUUGGCGAACGCGGGAGUAACACGCGUGUAACCUGCCCCUGACUUUGGGGGAACUUCAGGAAACUGCGGCUAAUACCGGAUAGGAUCUCCUGCUGCACGGUGGGGGUUGGAAAGUUACGGCGGUAGGGGAUGGAUGAGCGGGUUAUCGGCUUGUUGGUGGGGUAGUGGUUGUCCAAGUGUUUGACGGGUAGCCGGCCUGAGAGGGUGACCGGCCACAAGGGGACUGAGAGAGGGAGCAGAAGGCUACGGGCGGCAGCAGUCGAGAGUAUUACGCAAUGGGGGGACGCGAGAUGCAGCGGUGUCGCGUGCGGGAAGACCGGCUUCGGGUGGUAAACAGCUUUCGACGGUGCCGAGGAGUGCGUGACGGUACUUGGUAAGGAAGCCCCGGCUAACUACGUG